RNAcentral lists this ribosomal RNA (253 nucleotides) under uncultured bacterium. RNAcentral describes it as "partial 16S ribosomal RNA". It matches the Rfam family "Bacterial small subunit ribosomal RNA", at positions 524 to 776 of the family's 1533-position model. The record is from RNAcentral.
UACAGAGGGGGCAAGCGUUGUUCGGAAUUACUGGGCGUAAAGGGCGCGUAGGCGGCCUGUUAAGUCGAACGUGGAAUCCCCGGGCUCAACCCGGGAACUGCGUCCGAUACUGGCAGGCUUGAAUCCGGGAGAGGGAUGCGGAAUUCCAGGUGUAGCGGUGAAAUGCGUAGAUAUCUGGAGGAACACCGGUGGCGAAGGCGGCAUCCUGGACCGGCAUUGACGCUGAGGCGCGAAAGCCAGGGGAGCAAACGGG